RNAcentral lists this transfer RNA (74 nucleotides) under Schizosaccharomyces octosporus yFS286. RNAcentral's name for it is "tRNA-Ile (TAT) (tRNA-Ile-TAT-2-1)". It matches the Rfam family "tRNA". Rfam says of the family: Transfer RNA (tRNA) molecules are approximately 80 nucleotides in length. Their secondary structure includes four short double-helical elements and three loops (D, anti-codon, and T loops). The record is from RNAcentral. Lineage: Eukaryota; Fungi; Ascomycota; Schizosaccharomycetes; Schizosaccharomycetales; Schizosaccharomycetaceae.
GCCCCCGUGGCCAAGCUGGUUAAGGCCUCAUGCUUAUAACGUGAAAAUCGCGAGUUCGAUCCUCGCCGGGAGCA